This 253-nucleotide ribosomal RNA is filed under the name uncultured bacterium. RNAcentral's name for it is "partial 16S ribosomal RNA". It matches the Rfam family "Bacterial small subunit ribosomal RNA", at positions 524 to 776 of the family's 1533-position model. The record is from RNAcentral.
UACGUAGGGUGCGAGCGUUAAUCGGAAUUACUGGGCGUAAAGGGUGCGCAGGCGGUUUUGCAAGUCAGGCGUGAAAUCCCCGGGCUUAACUUGGGAACUGCACUUGAAACUACGGGACUGGAGUAUGACAGAGGGAGAUGGAAUUCCACGUGUAGCGGUGAAAUGCGUAGAGAUGUGGAGGAACACCGAUGGCGAAGGCAGCCUCCUGGGCCAAUACUGACGCUCAUGCACGAAAGCGUGGGGAGCAAACAGG